ACGGAGGAUCCGAGCGUUAUCCGGAUUUAUUGGGUUUAAAGGGAGCGUAGAUGGAUGUUUAAGUCAGUUGUGAAAGUUUACGGCUCAACCGUAAAAUUGCAGUUGAUACUGGAUAUCUUGAGUGCAGUUGAGGCAGGCGGAAUUCGUGGUGUAGCGGUGAAAUGCUUAGAUAUAACGAAGAACUCCGAUUGCGAAGGCAGCUUACUAAGCUUGAACUGACGCUGAGGCUCGAAAGUGUGGGUAUCAAACAG
Molecule: ribosomal RNA, 251 nt
Filed under: uncultured prokaryote
Description: partial 16S rRNA
Rfam family: Bacterial small subunit ribosomal RNA
Source: RNAcentral